Molecule: ribosomal RNA, 484 nt
Filed under: uncultured bacterium
Lineage: Bacteria
Description: bacterial SSU rRNA
Rfam family: Bacterial small subunit ribosomal RNA
Source: RNAcentral
GAUGAACGCUAGCGGCAGGCCUAAUACAUGCAAGUCGAGCGGCAAGUCGAGGAGUAAUCUAAGACCUAGAGCGGCGCACGGGUGCGUAACGCGUAUGCAACCUACCUUAUACUGGGGGAUAGCCCGGAGAAAUCUGGAUUAAUACCCCAUGGCACAUAUUGAUGGCAUCUGAGAUAUGUUAAAGAUUUAUUGGUAUAAGAUGGGCAUGCGUCUGAUUAGCUAGUUGGCGGUGUAACGGACCACCAAGGCGACGAUCAGUAGGGGUUCUGAGAGGAAGGUCCCCCACACUGGCACUGAGAUACGGGCCAGACUCCUACGGGAGGCAGCAGUAGGGAAUAUUGGGCAAUGGUCGGAAGACUGACCCAGCCAUGCCGCGUGCAGGAAGACGGCCCUCUGGGUUGUAAACUGCUUUUGUACAGGAAGAAACACCUCUACGUGUAGAGACUUGACGGUACUGUAAGAAUAAGGAUCGGCUAACUCCGUG